This is a long non-coding RNA of Trachymyrmex cornetzi, 701 nucleotides long. RefSeq lists it as uncharacterized. The transcript has 2 exons. NCBI's taxonomy places the organism in Eukaryota, Metazoa, Arthropoda, Insecta, Hymenoptera, Formicidae. The record is from RefSeq and is a predicted model, not a curated record.
UUAAACAAAAUUAUCAAAAGGAAAGAAAUUAAAACAGUUGAGACGGAGGAAGUGCUAAAGAAGGGAAGCUCCAAGCGUAACGUGUGAAGAAGAAAUUAAAAAGAGUCCUUCGAAAAUGUUUAAAAUGCACGCGCUCUUGUUAGUAUUAAAUAUUUAUUCGAACGUCAUUCCUCCUCCUAUUCUACAAAGCGUCAAUAACUUGCUUCUGAUUACCCUGUUGCAAUUUUUCUCUCCGAUUUCCCUACUGUACUUCUUCAUGGCAUAUGCAAGAGACAAUGCGGAUUGGGCAAAGUGACAAUUUACUACAAGCGACCAUGUGGAUACGGAGCCGACAAUGAGAUCGCUGCAAAUACGGCCGGCUUCUCGUGUCGCGUUUAACGCGCGUCUAUCGUCGACGAGGCCUUCAUAACCACGAUACUCUGCGAACCACAAAAGUCUGUGUCACGCCAAGUGCGUAAAUCACGCGGCUGAUAGACGCGAUGCGAGGCAAUCCACUUUCUGGGGCGAUAUUGCCCGCAUCCCUCGUGCGUUAAUCGUGAUUAAUUCGGCUUAUCGCCUUGCUAAACGCUAAUCUUACGAGACAAACUCAACAGACCGAUAAACGUGGUAAGAAUUGGACGAUCACGUAUUGCAACGAUCUCACUACCCAUAGACCGUAUCCCGUUUGUAUUCAAAUUCCGAAUCAAAUCCGAAACAAAAUU